This 494-nucleotide ribosomal RNA is filed under the name uncultured bacterium. RNAcentral's name for it is "partial 16S ribosomal RNA". It matches the Rfam family "Bacterial small subunit ribosomal RNA", at positions 30 to 506 of the family's 1533-position model. The record is from RNAcentral.
UGACCGCUGGCGGCGUGCCUAAUACAUGCAAGUCGAGCGAACAGACGCGGAGCUUGCUCCUCUGACGUUAGCGGCGGACGGGUGAGUAACACGUGGAUAACCUACCUAUAAGACUGGGAUAACUUCGGGAAACCGGAGCUAAUACCGGAUAAUAUAUUGAACCGCAUGGUUCAAUAGUGAAAGACGGUUUUGCUGUCACUUAUAGAUGGAUCCGCGCCGCAUUAGCUAGUUGGUAAGGUAACGGCUUACCAAGGCAACGAUGCGUAGCCGACCUGAGAGGGUGAUCGGCCACACUGGAACUGAGACACGGUCCAGACUCCUACGGGAGGCAGCAGUAGGGAAUCUUCCGCAAUGGGCGAAAGCCUGACGGAGCAACGCCGCGUGAGUGAUGAAGGUCUUCGGAUCGUAAAACUCUGUUAUUAGGGAAGAACAAAUGUGUAAGUAACUAUGCACGUCUUGACGGUACCUAAUCAGAAAGCCACGGCUAACUACGU